This 714-nucleotide ribosomal RNA is filed under the name uncultured bacterium. RNAcentral's name for it is "bacterial SSU rRNA". It matches the Rfam family "Bacterial small subunit ribosomal RNA", at positions 100 to 795 of the family's 1533-position model. The record is from RNAcentral.
GGAAGGGUUAGUAAUACAUGGGUAACUUACCUCUAACUUUGGAAUAACGGUUGGAAACGACCGCUAAUACCGAAUGUGGUGCAUCAAGUAUCUUGAUGUUAUUAAAGCGGGGGAUCGUAAGACCUCGUGGUUAGAGAGAGGCUCAUGGGAUAUCAGCUUGUUGGUGAGGUAAGAGCUCACCAAGGCUAAGACGUCUAGGCGGGUUGAGAGAUUGACCGCCAACACUGGGACUGAGACACUGCCCAGACUCCUACGGGAGGCUGCAGUCGAGAAUCUUUCGCAAUGGGGGAAACCCUGACGAAGCGACGCUGUGUGAGUGAUGAAGGCCCUCGGGUUGUAAAACUCUUUCGCAUGGGAACAAGAGAAGUAGGUUAAUAUCCUACCUAUUUGAGGGUACCAUGUAAAGAAGCACCGGCUAACUACGUGCCAGCAGCUGCGGUAAUACGUAGGGUGCAAGCAUUAAUCGGAAUUAUUGGGCGUAAAGGGGGCGCAGGCGGAAUAGUAAGUCAGACGUGAAAGCCCGGGGCUCAACCCCGGAACUGCAUUUGAAACUACUUUUCUAGAGGAUAGGCGGAGAAAACGGAACUCCACAUGUAGCGGUGAAAUGCGUAGAUAUGUGGAAGAACACCCGUGGCGAAAGCGGUUUUCUAGCUUAUUCCUGACGCUCAGGCCCGAAAGCUAGGGGAGCAAACAGGAUUAGAUACCCUGGUAGUC